GUGGUGAGACGGGGUUUGCUUCUGCAGCCCAGGGUCAACGGCAAGGACUUUUUCCUUGCAAGACUAAUGGAGGCAGAAAGGAAGCUUGGAGUAUAAAUUCCCAGUGGAACAGUGAGGCUGAGCACAAAGGUGAGGAGUUGCACUGUACUGGUUAUUCCAGAGAGGAGAUUGAGGGUGAAAUUGAGACUUGUUGGUGUCUCUAACUCAUUCAGACAUAUUUACUGAGUGCUUACUGAGUUGAAAUCACUGUAAUAAGUGCUUGUGAAAGUA
Molecule: long non-coding RNA, 270 nt
Filed under: Ornithorhynchus anatinus (platypus)
Lineage: Eukaryota; Metazoa; Chordata; Mammalia; Monotremata; Ornithorhynchidae
Description: lncRNA (ENSOANG00000042714.1)
Source: RNAcentral